RNAcentral lists this small RNA (101 nucleotides) under Flavobacterium aquicola. Its description in RNAcentral is "Flavo-1 RNA". The record is from RNAcentral. Lineage: Bacteria; Pseudomonadati; Bacteroidota; Flavobacteriia; Flavobacteriales; Flavobacteriaceae.
AUAACACUCUGAUAGCUGCGAAAACCUCCCGACUAGAAAUCGAGGUUUUUUUAACCAUAGAUUGACUUUAUCGGGAAUUGUAACGGAUGACAGAAACCUGU